Jaculus jaculus (lesser Egyptian jerboa) is the source of this 107-nucleotide small nuclear RNA. The record is from Ensembl. Lineage: Eukaryota; Metazoa; Chordata; Mammalia; Rodentia; Dipodidae.
GUACUCACUUUGGCAAUACAUAUAUGAAAAUUGGAACAAUACCCAGAAGAUUAGCAUGUCCCCUGGGAAAGAAUAGCAUACAAAUUUGUAAAGUAUUCCAUAUUUUU